RNAcentral lists this non-coding RNA (86 nucleotides) under Pseudomonas sp. Tn43. Lineage: Bacteria; Pseudomonadati; Pseudomonadota; Gammaproteobacteria; Pseudomonadales; Pseudomonadaceae. The record is from RNAcentral.
UGUUAUGGCGGCUGUGCGUGGGAGACCUUCGGGUCUGCCGGUUCCUUGGCUCCCGGUUUACCACCCUGCGUACAGCUGCCACCCAU